RNAcentral lists this unclassified non-coding RNA (787 nucleotides) under uncultured Tomentella. RNAcentral describes it as "sequence contains ITS1, 5.8S rRNA gene and ITS2". The stretch from base 249 to 403 matches the Rfam family "5.8S ribosomal RNA". The record is from RNAcentral. Lineage: Eukaryota; Fungi; Basidiomycota; Agaricomycetes; Thelephorales; Thelephoraceae.
AAGUCGUAACAAGGUUUCCGUAGGUGAACCUGCGGAAGGAUCAUUACUGAACCGUUGACACGAGCUGUUGCUGGCCCUCGAAAGGGGGCACGUGCACGCUCUGUUUACACAUCCACUCACACCUGUGCACCCUCUGUAGUUCUGUGGCCUUGGGGACUCUGUCCCCUUGCUGCGGUCCUACGUUUUUACACACACACACUGUAACAAAGUCUCAUGGAAUGCAUGUCGCGUUUAACGCAAUACAAUACAACUUUCAGCAACGGAUCUCUUGGCUCUCGCAUCGAUGAAGAACGCAGCGAAAUGCGAUAAGUAAUGUGAAUUGCAGAAUUCAGUGAAUCAUCGAAUCUUUGAACGCACCUUGCGCCCUUUGGCUAUUCCGAAGGGCAUGCCUGUUUGAGUAUCAUGAACACCUCAACUCUCAUGGUCUGCCAUGAUGAGCUUGGACUUUGGGGGUCUUGCUGGCCUAGUGUCGGCUCCUCUCAAAUGGAUCAGCUUGCCAGUGUUUGGUGGCGUCACAGGUGUGAUAACUAUCUACGCUUGUGGUUUUCUGCCAUGUAACCUUCAGUGAUGGAGGUUCGCUGGAGCUCACAGAUGUCUCUCCUUGGGGAGGACAGCUUUUUGAACGUUUGAUCUCAAAUCAGGUAGGACUACCCGCUGAACUUAAGCAUAUCAAUAAGCGGAGGAAAAGAAACUAACAAGGAUUCCCCUAGUAACUGCGAGUGAAGCGGGAAAAGCUCAAAUUUAAAAUCUGGCGUGCCUCUGGCCGUCCGAGUUGUAGUCUGGAGAA